UACGUAGGGCGCAAGCGUUGUCCGGAAUUAUUGGGCGUAAAGAGCUCGUAGGCGGUUUGUUACGUCCGCUGUGAAAACCCAGGGCUUAACCCUGGGCUUGCAGUGGAUACGGGCAGACUAGAGGUAGGUAGGGGAGAAUGGAAUUCCCGGUGUAGCGGUGAAAUACGUAGAGAUGUGGAGGAACACCGAUGGCGAAGGCAGCCCCCUGGGUCAACACUGACGCUCAUGCACGAAAGCGUGGGGAGCAAACAGG
Molecule: ribosomal RNA, 253 nt
Filed under: uncultured prokaryote
Description: partial 16S ribosomal RNA
Rfam family: Bacterial small subunit ribosomal RNA
Source: RNAcentral